CCCUUAGAUGUUCUGGGCAGCACGCGCGCUACAAUGGUCUUCGCAAACGGAUGCAUUCUCGAAGGAGAAUGCCAAUCUUGGAAUCUAUGCCCUGGUCGGGACAGUUGCUUGCAAUUUUUCGACUCGAACCAGGAAUUCCUUGUAAUCGUGAUUCAUCACAUCACGAUGAAUACGUCCCUGCCCUUUGUACACACCGCCCGUCGCUCCUACCGAUCGAAGAGUUAGGUGAAUUGUUUUGAUCGAUAAGAUUUGACUAUGGUCAACUCUCGUUGUGAAAUUCUGUGAAUCUGACUGUUUAGAGGAAGGAAAAGUCGUAACA
Molecule: ribosomal RNA, 319 nt
Filed under: uncultured eukaryote
Lineage: Eukaryota
Description: partial 18S ribosomal RNA
Rfam family: Eukaryotic small subunit ribosomal RNA
Source: RNAcentral